UGUCCCAGCCGAUGAGCUCAAGGUGUCACCGUCAUUGGAAGAGAACAAAGAAGAAGCCAUGGUAAAAGCCGGCAAGAAACUAGAAGCCCUCGGACGUGUGCUGCAGGGAAAAGUGCCUGAAAGCAGUGCCGAUGCACUGCGGGAUGUGACCGAAGCAAUUGAAGCACUCGCCGCUGGUGAAAACGCACUGGACAAAGAAUCCUCCGAGUACUGGGUUGGCGUCAUCGUUCGCGGAGUUGCCGGUGGUGCGGUUGCCCACGGCAUCGACAAGUGGAGGAAGAGGAAGGGAUAAUAAUCAACAACUGAGAUGUUCGGAAAAUAUACUGCCUUGGCAUUUCUCUCACGUG
Long non-coding RNA from Rhipicephalus sanguineus (brown dog tick), 347 nucleotides. RefSeq lists it as uncharacterized. The transcript is spliced from 2 exons. Lineage: Eukaryota; Metazoa; Arthropoda; Arachnida; Ixodida; Ixodidae. The record is from RefSeq and is a predicted model, not a curated record.